Molecule: long non-coding RNA, 739 nt
Organism: Scylla paramamosain (green mud crab)
Lineage: Eukaryota; Metazoa; Arthropoda; Malacostraca; Decapoda; Portunidae
Exons: 3
Source: RefSeq, a predicted model, not a curated record
AGGAGGACUUUGAAUAAAGAAUACCAAAAAUGGUCAUGCUAGCGUCACAUUUCCUCUUUAAUUUUCAAGAGGAAGUGUGAGGAACGAAAACGGAAUUACGAAUGUGUCUAGCCUGAAGGAUCGCCUGCAGGACCCAGAAGGAUAUACAACAAUGAGCUGAAUGCAAGAACAACCUCCCGAUAGCUUUCUUAUUUAUGGAAUCAUGUCUUCCCGGUCAACAAUUCCCUCUGCCUACCCACCUCAACUCUCUCCGACCGCCCAGCUCCCCCAGUGCCCACCCCGCAGCAGGAAAUUUCCGUGGUGAGGGCGUCUUUGCAGCAGCUUGCCGGGUGUUCUUUACCGGGUGGAAAAUCCGUCGCUCCUAAUACCCGUCUCCAGCCUCUGCCUCGCCGAGUGGGAGCUACUCUGAUUGUGCGCACGUCAGCUUGUCGGUGCGGGUGGGGGAGCACGGAACUAGACGCCCGAGUUGAGCUGUUUAUCUUGUGAACUUUUCUUGUUUUCAUUGUUAUGCUUAACGCUGUUUUACUUAUAUGUACUGUGGAAGUUGUCUUGUCGAAGAAGCUAGUUUUACUGGUUGUUGAAUGGAUGUUUUAAUAGCUUUAAAUAAUAGUUUCGGAAAGAAUACGUCCAUUUUUGUUAUGUGUUGAAAAGGAUUGUAAACUAGAUGUAAUGAAUAUCGACGUGUCAUUGUGAAGUGAGAGUGUGUGUGUGUGUGUGUGUGUGUGUGUGUGUGUGUGUG